Molecule: non-coding RNA, 3757 nt
Organism: Nicotiana tabacum (common tobacco)
Lineage: Eukaryota; Viridiplantae; Streptophyta; Magnoliopsida; Solanales; Solanaceae
Source: RefSeq, a predicted model, not a curated record
GACAAGAAUUAAGCAUUCCCUCCAAUUAGAAAAAAGAAACAUUUUCCCUUCUGCCAAUACGAAUUUUGCCAAAAAAGGAAAAAAGAUAACAAAACCUAUUCCCUUUCGACAUUCUCCGGCCUGCAAAAUCGCGCCAGUUAACAGUCUCUGGUUAACAAAAUCGUCGCGGCCUGAGACAGUCUCCGCUCUGCCACAGCUCCGACGAUCUUCUUAUCAAAUCCCAGGUUUCAAGAUUGCUGCAGAAAUCAUUAUUCUCCUUCACUUUCUUGUCUUUAUCGGUGAAGAUUCUUCUUACUAGGUACCAAUCUGUACUUUCUAUAUCAAUGUUGCAUACAAGAAAAUCUUAUUUCCUCACUUCUGGUGGUAAAUUGCAUAUCCCCUAUCACUGUUGUCUGGGUAUCUGAAACUUAUAUUACGGCUGCAGUUUCAACUGCCUUUAUCCAGUAGGAUUUUGUACCACAAUGUAUAGUUGCAAAUCUGAUCCAUAUGCAGUAGGUAACAAUAUAGUUCCUAAGUUACUAGUUGCAGCUCUUCUCAUUGCUAAGUAAACUAGUAGUAGUAAUCUAAUGCCAAUGAUGGGAUAUCUUAAGUUUGCUGUUAUUUGUUACUUUCAGUGUAAAUAGGAUCUUACGCAUGGAGCAACAAUCUGGAUAACUUAAAGGUUUUCCAUGUUAUUAUUCAUUUACUACGCUGUAAAAUACAAUUAGUUGAAAUGAGCUAUACGAUUUUCUCUGCAUUCAGUCUAUUCUGUUCAAGUUAGAGAUCAUCAAAUUGAAACUAUCUUCAGUAGGAAAGAAGUUCUUAACAUGUAAAGGUUGUAAAAAUAAAGUUAGUUGCAGCUUUUAGUUUCCUUUAACUUAGCACCACACAGAUUCAAGUUGGGUAAUAGCUGGAUGUUACAUUUGUAGCAUACGUUUGGUUACUUGAUUUUAUUUUUGAUUUUUGUACUUAUAGCUUGCGGAGUUAUUAAGUUAGCAAAAAUUACAUGAUGUAAGGUCAUUCCCAUAGUGAUCACCAAAUAAAGAAGUUGAUCCUAGUGUUGGAUUGACUAGGUAUAAACAGUUAAGCUUCCAAAAAAUGAGGGAGCACAACUCCAUUUUUCUUUGUCCCUUGGCCUGUUAAUCCUCCAUGAAUUGUCUGGUUUUAGUAAGUAGGAAAACUUUUAAACACAGUGAAGCAUUUUCUAUAAACACUUGUGUGUUUGUUAGUUCCUAUUUUUUUUGUGAUGUAUCUAAGUGAGCCGUCAAUACUGCUGAUAAACUUGCUACUUGCGCAUAUUUCUAUUUAACACUGUUGUCAGUAUGUGCAAAAUUGGCAUAGCAAAGCCACAAAACAUCUCAAUUCCCAUUUUUGAAAAGAGAGCUUGUGGGUAGCCUUUCAUAGUUGAAAUUUAUUUAGUGGGAGAAAUUCUUCUCUAGUGUCUUGUAAACCGUAAGCUUAAUUUGGGUAGCCUCCUGAUGUUUUAUAUGACCAAAAGGAAUUAUAUAGUGCAGGACUGAUUCAAUGAGCCUAGCAUGUUACUGCAUAUCUUAGGAUUGCUUACAAACAUGGUCUGCCAUAAAGUGAAUUUCUAGAGGAAAAGCUACUUCAUAUUAAUAUUGACUCAUCUCUGGUUUCUCAAAUAUCAAGUCAUCAGGGGCAAAAGGAACCAUGUAGGAUGGCAGAUCACAUCGUAAUAUUGCCUGCAUAAUUGAUAGAACUAAUCAGCAGGAUGAAUGAUGAGUCACAGGUACAUAUCAUAGGAAAAAACUACAUACUAGAUCCUUGCUUAGUCGAGCCAGCUCCGCAUUGGAUAGCAAUACCUGAACCAAUUUCUCUGGCAACCAACAUAGUCUUGCCUAUACCUUGUGUUACGAUAUUGGACAACAAGAAGAAGAUUGACACCUAAGGCUUGGAGCAGAGGAGAAGAGAGGACAAGGGGAGUUUAAUAAUUCGGAUAAAGCUAAGGCGUACCCAAGCAAAUCGAAACAAUAGGGCCAAUCAAAUGAUGCCCCACACAAGAGCAUCCAAGAGUAUUGCUACCUUGCUGGAUGAGCAGGCUGUAAAUGGGAUAGUGCCUACACAAGCACAAAUUUUCAUAUAAACUCAUACAAAACGUAAGGAUGGUAGACCACUGGAUGAUCAUUCUAUUAAGGCAAUCGAAUGGUAAAUGAAAGGAUGAGCAAUAGUGAGAGCUCUACUGACCAACCUCCUCACAGUGUUGCUUGGAAAGGCGAUGUGUAUUCUCAAGUAUUCGAAAAUGACAAAAGUGGAACAGGAGAUAGUCAAGUUAAAGUUAAAGGAGAAACAAAAUGAAGAAAUGAAUAUGAUGAAACAAAAUCAGGAGAAGAUGCAAUCAGAAUUACUCCAAAUGAGACAAUUCAUACACAAAUAUGCUCCUAAUUUAUCUAUGACUCAAAGUAGCAAUGACACCUCAUGUGAACAGAUCCCUGACGCCAACAUUGGACAUGAACGAGUACCACAAACAUCAAGGAUACCUAGUAUUGCUGAAAAUGCUCAACCUUCUCACGGUACUACUCAUCUUUGAGUUUUCCUCAUUUGAUUUUUAUUAAUUUGUUGUUGUAUUUGGGCUUACUUGAAUGCUUCUUGCUUUUAUAUAUUUCCUUUUCUCACUGUUGGUUUCCGUCUCAACAAUAUAUACCUAGUAGUUGAAGCCUCUUCUCUGGGGCCUAUCAUGAGUUAAACAACAUUGUGAGCACACUGGCUCGCGGAGAUGUAUUGCUGCAUAAAAUGAAGGGAUUAAUUUGUUAGGAAACUUAUAAGAAGCAUUAGGAUUUAGAGGGGGAUUUUCAAAAGGUGGUGUAGGGAAUUCAUGAAAAUAUAGGUUUUUAGCUGUGAGAGGGUCAAAACCAUGGACACGAAACUUAGCCUUGCGAAUAUGAGUGGUUCCUCCAACAUAGUGUACCGGGAUAUUAUACGAGGAGAUAAGCCUAGGAAGGUAGAGAAACUGGUUGAGAUGACCUUGUGCUGAAAGUGACACCAUUAGGACAGCCACUUAAGCAUCUUGAACACCAUUUUGGUCAUGGUUUUUUGUGUGGUAGUUCUCAGCCAUUGGGAAGGUAUAGAAUUUUUGCAGUUUUAUGAGUGUCUGAAGCUUUCGAAGUGUCCUGAAUAAUAUGUAGGUGAAAAUGUAGAUGCUCUUAUAAGGAUUAUGUCUAAUGCAUGAAUCCAAUCACUAAUACUUGCUGGCGGGCUGCUAAAAUUAUAUCCACAUAAUUAUACUUCUCUUAUUUUACAAGCUGAUGCAAAGUAUACUACUUAAUUAAUGCAGUCACAAUUAGUUUCCUUUAUUUGUUUCCCUAUAUAAAACCACCAAUAAGUGGCUAUAAAAAAAGUAUAACCUCAAUUCUCUAUGCUAUGAAUUUGUGUAGAAAAAAAGUGUUGUAUGCUUACAAUUCAAAUAUAUCAUAGUAUAUGUUUAUAUCCAGCUUCUUAAUUUUCUGUUUGAGAACUCUUGUGCCAAAGGAGACUGAAGAGCCAAGAUUGAAUUGAUUACAAACCUUUUCCACAUGUUGCUGGGCAGGCUCUUCACAACAGAUCAUACGGUUUGAUGUUCGAUAAUUUAGCAGGUGGGAGAUUUCAAAAUGAUGAAAAGUUGCGGAAAUCAUUUGAAUACCAUUAUUCGUCUGAAUUAGUUAUAUAAUGACAUUAGCUAUUUAGUUCAAACAAUGUAAGUUUAGUUACUAUGCCAUCAAUAUUAGUACUUCCUUAUGUUUGUUAAGAUUUAAUGAGAUAUAUUAUAUUUCUUUUGAAUUAA